GGAAUCACUGGGUUUAAAGGGUGCGUAGGCGGUUGCGUAAGUCAGAAGUGAAAGCUCACAGCUUAACUGUGGAAUUGCUUUUGAUACUGCGUAACUAGAAUCAGGUUGAGGUUGGCGGAAUGUGACAUGUAGCGGUGAAAUGCAUAGAUAUGCCUCAGAACACCGAUUGCGAAGGCAGCUUACUAAGCCAAUACUGACGCUGAGGCACGAAAGCGUGGGUAGCGAACAGGAUUAGAUACCCUGGUAGUCCACGCCGUAAACGAUGGACACUAGUUGUUGGAAUUAUUCAGUGACUAAGCGAAAGUGAUAAGUGUCCCACCUGGGGAGUACGAUCGCAAGAUUGAAACUCAAAGGAAUUGACGGGGGCCCGCACAAGCGGUGGAGCAUGUGGUUUAAUUCGAUGAUACGCGAGGAACCUUACCAGGGCUUAAAUGUAAGAUGCAUUAGUUAGAGAUAGCUAUUUCUUCGGACUUCUUACAAGGUGCUGCAUGGUU
This 494-nucleotide ribosomal RNA is filed under the name uncultured Bacteroidota bacterium. RNAcentral's name for it is "bacterial SSU rRNA". It matches the Rfam family "Bacterial small subunit ribosomal RNA", at positions 547 to 1050 of the family's 1533-position model. The record is from RNAcentral. Lineage: Bacteria; Pseudomonadati; Bacteroidota.